This 689-nucleotide ribosomal RNA is filed under the name uncultured Gammaproteobacteria bacterium. Its description in RNAcentral is "bacterial SSU rRNA". It matches the Rfam family "Bacterial small subunit ribosomal RNA", at positions 8 to 692 of the family's 1533-position model. Lineage: Bacteria; Pseudomonadati; Pseudomonadota; Gammaproteobacteria. The record is from RNAcentral.
AGAGUUUGAUCCUGGCUCAGAUUGAACGCUGGCGGCAGGCCUAACACAUGCAAGUCGAGCGGUAACAGAAAGUAGCUUGCUACUUUGCUGACGAGCGGCGGACGGGUGAGUAAUGCUUGGGAACAUGCCUUGAGGUGGGGGACAACAGUUGGAAACGACUGCUAAUACCGCAUAAUGUCUACGGACCAAAGGGGGCUUCGGCUCUCGCCUUUAGAUUGGCCCAAGUGGGAUUAGCUAGUUGGUGAGGUAAUGGCUCACCAAGGCAACGAUCCCUAGCUGGUUUGAGAGGAUGAUCAGCCACACUGGAACUGAGACACGGUCCAGACUCCUACGGGAGGCAGCAGUGGGGAAUAUUGCACAAUGGGCGAAAGCCUGAUGCAGCCAUGCCGCGUGUGUGAAGAAGGCCUUCGGGUUGUAAAGCACUUUCAGUCAGGAGGAAAGGGUGUGAGUUAAUACCUCAUAUCUGUGACGUUACUGACAGAAGAAGCACCGGCUAACUCCGUGCCAGCAGCCGCGGUAAUACGGAGGGUGCGAGCGUUAAUCGGAAUUACUGAGCGUAAAGCGUACGCAGGCGGUUUGUUAAGCGAGAUGUGAAAGCCCCGGGCUCAACCUGGGAACUGCAUUUCGAACUGGCAAACCAGAGUGUGAUAGAGGGUGGUAGAAUUUCAGGUGUAGCGGUGAAAUGCGUA